This 491-nucleotide ribosomal RNA is filed under the name uncultured bacterium. Its description in RNAcentral is "partial 16S ribosomal RNA". It matches the Rfam family "Bacterial small subunit ribosomal RNA", at positions 29 to 507 of the family's 1533-position model. The record is from RNAcentral.
GUGAACGCUGGCGGUAGGCCUAACACAUGCAAGUCGAACGGCAGCACAGUAAGAGCUUGCUCUUACGGGUGGCGAGUGGCGGACGGGUGAGGAAUACAUCGGAUUCUACUUUUUCGUGGGGGAUAACGUAGGGAAACUUACGCUAAUACCGCAUACGACCUACGGGUGAAAGCAGGGGAUCUUCGGACCUUGCGCGAUUGAAUGAGCCGAUGUUGGAUUAGCUAGUUGGCGGGGUAAAGGCCCACCAAGGCGACGAUCCGUAGCUGGUCUGAGAGGAUGAUCAGCCACACUGGAACUGAGACACGGUCCAGACUCCUACGGGAGGCAGCAGUGGGGAAUAUUGGACAAUGGGCGCAAGCCUGAUCCAGCCAUACCGCGUGGGUGAAGAAGGCCUUCGGGUUGUAAAGCCCUUUUGUUGGGAAAGAAAAGCAGCAGGUUAAUACCCCGCUGUUCUGACGGUACCCAAAGAAUAAGCACCGGCUAACUUCGUG